This 3847-nucleotide long non-coding RNA is filed under the name Triticum aestivum (bread wheat). RNAcentral describes it as "long non-coding RNA (TAES_LNC003877)". The record is from RNAcentral. Lineage: Eukaryota; Viridiplantae; Streptophyta; Magnoliopsida; Poales; Poaceae.
UUGGUUUAAGUGCAGAUGACAUUAAUCCUUUUGGGGAGCAGAACAACAAUCAUAGCACAUGGCCUGUGACUCUAUGUAUCUAUAACCUUCCUCCUUGGUUAUGCAUGAAGCGAAAGUUCAUUAUGAUGCCAGUGCUCAUCCAAGGCCCCAGGCAACCCGGUGUAAUGCCCAGGAUAAAGUUAUACCGGGGACUUGUGAUGAAUUCAAGCCCAGGGUAUAAAGUUAUCCUCGACACGUAGCAAGGUGGAAAAUCAUACACACAUACCACAUAUGAAAGGGAUAUAGGAGUAAUAAGCUAGGCAACACAUGCCCCAGAAUAUAAUAUAUCAAUAUAAUAUUAUUACAAUCUCAUAAUAUCCGACUCCGGAUCUAAAAAGAUAAAACACCACCCUGCUACAAGCCCCGGAUCACCCGACUAGUAACCCAAUCUACUGAUCGUCCGGAUAAGUAACAUAGAAACGCCCGCGGUCCUCGUCGUACUCCCAGUGCAGCUCCUGAGCAUCAGCGUUAUCGAACUCGGUUGUACCUGCAUCUGAGGUGUUGUAGUAACUGUGAUCCACGAGGACUCAGCAAUCCCGAUACCCGGGGUAACAAGACUAAGCAAGUUUAAGUAGGUAGGAUCAGGCUGUUUAAGUGGAGCUGCUGCAAGCGACUAAGCAUUAUAUGGUGGCUAACUUACGCAAGUCAGAGUUAAGGUGAGAAGACCUACGUCAACGGUCGAGACUAAUGAUCACUAAGUGAUCCUAGCUAUCUUACGGUCAGACAUAACCCCACCGUAUUCUCUUCCCGGUUUCCUCCGAAAAAGAGACGAUCACGGUACGCACACGGUUGGUGCAUUUUAAUUAAGUUAACUUCCGAUUAUCUACCACCGGUAUUAAACAAAUCCAAUCCGCCCGUAACCGCGGGCACGGCUUUCGAAAGAUAAUACCCUGCAGGGGUGUUCCAACUUAGCCCACGACAAGCUCUCACGGCAUGCGGAGACAAUCCUCCAUAGUAAAGAAUCCGAUCAGACUCGGGUUCUAGUUGCACAAGACAUUUCUGCAAAGGCGAAACAAAACCAGCAAAGACCUCCCGGCGUGCCGACACCCUGAUAGUAGCCGCGCGUAUCUCGUCUCAGGCCACGUCCGGAUGGGACAGGCUACAGGUACCAAAACCUCGAGUUGCCCCGUGGAGGUCCCGCAGUCUCCCCGAUUCGGACCAACACUCAUGAGGAGUACUGGCCCUGGGUUGUUGAUUAAAAGAUCCUCGGGUUAAUUACUCCCUAUGUGUUAAUUAGGUGAGGCAAAUGGUAAAACCAAAGUUGGGUCUUGCUGGAAAUGUUUAUCCUAAACGAACUAUCAAGGGGUCCUCAUAAAACCCUACCGCGUUAGGAACGCAAAAUCAAGGAACAUAACACCGGACUGACGGUACUUAAGGCGGCAAGAGCAGAACAAAACACCAAGCAAAAGGCUUAGCCUUCCGCCCUUUACCAAGUAUAUAAGGGUGCAUUAUUAACAUAGCAAUAUUGUGUUAUCCCAGAAAUAUAUCAUGAUCCAACAAGGAUCAACCUGCAACUAGCAACGCUAUAAGAACAAGGGCUUAAAAGCAAGCACUAGUUAGCCAAUCAAGGUUUUGCUGGGACAGGAUUAGUUAGAGUCAUCGAGGCAACAAAGGGGGCUAAACAUGUGAUAGGAUUCGUAGACAUAGCGAAAGAGCGAAUACUAGCCAAACAAGCAUAGUAAUGGUAUCACGGGUAAAGAUCAUCUUGCCUGGUAAUUCCUCGGUAGGAUCGGAAAACAGCUCGGUAUGAUCGUACUCAAUGGAACCCUCGUUCACGAAAUCGUCUCCCAAAGCUACCCACAAACAAGAAUACAAUAAACAUACCACACAACAAAGUACAUAUGAAAUAUGUAUGCAUAUGACUAUAUGAUGCAACGUAUCGAAACGGUAACGGAAACGAAAGGGCGCGAUGAACGGAAGGAGUUAUGAAGUGGACAGCAAGGAAAUGGCCCAAUCUUGUCAGGACAAGGUAUCCAUUGGAUAGAGGAGGUGAAAUUGAUUGAAAACCAUAUAAAGAUCAUGGCAAUCGGAGUUACGAGUAAGAAAUGGCAAGCAUAUCAAGUUUCAAACAAUUCUGCCAAAAACAGCAACUAUGCCACUUCAACACAACAAUUAAAUAUGCUACAGCAACUCAAAUAGAAAUCUAAGAACAUGACUGGAAAUAGCAUUUCAACUACAACAAUAAAGCCCAACUAAGCUACUCAUGAAAGUGCAUGGAAGACAUUUAAAACAGGAGCUAAACAUGUGACAAAAUUACUGUUUACAGACUUAGUAGAAAUUUAGCCUAGCAAGUUGAAAACAAAAUCUGGAAGCAACUUUAGAGCAUGGUAGUUAACACAUACAGCAAAUUCUUCUACAGCAACAUAGCAUGAAAAUGUUAAGCAUGACACCCUCAACAAAAGUCCCUUACUGAAGUUCAGCUAGAAAUGCACAGGUUAAAAGAUAGCAGUAGCUAAACAUGGCAUCUGGAUUAUUUCGGCACUUAGGACUUGGUGAAAAUUAGCACAUGUCAAAAACAGAAUUUAGUGCAAACUUUGGGAGCUUGUGCCACUCUACAUAAUGAUCCAAAAAAUUACAACUAAAAUCCUACAGUAACAUGGCAUGUCAUAGAAGAUGAUGGCACAAAGUUUACCCCUAAAGCUAUUAUCAUGUGGGCCAUGCAGCAAGUUUAAAACAACACCAGAUUCAAAUAAUCAUGCACACAAACUUUACCCCUAAAGCUAUUAUCAUAUAAUAUGUUGGGGGUUGCUUGGGAAAAUAAAUCACAAAUGCAAAAAGAAAAACCUGCCUUAAUUGGGAAAAACCCAGAAAUGCAUAUUCCGAAAAGGGAAUAUGCCCUUUAGGGAUAUGCCAGAAUUGGCAUACUCGCAGGAGUCAAUUUAAUAUAGGCUGGAGUGGCCGACAGGUGGGGUCUGGAUGGAAGUGAGUAUGACAAGUGGGACCCACAUGUCAGUACUCCGAAAUACGCAAAAAAUGCGCCUAUUCAACUGCGCGAGGGGGGAAUUCGAACCGCGGUCGCUGCGUUACAGGAGGGAGGUGCUAGCCACUGGGCUAGUUCAGUGUGUUCGACAGAGAAGGCGUCGUACGCAGGAUAUCAUCUAGCAGCGAGGUGCUCGCCGGCGACGCGCCGGAAGCAGAGAGGGUUGGCCGGAGUUGCUGCGUUAGCCUAAAGGAGCGGCGGAGAUGUGCAACGCAAGCGCACCACACACCCGCAAGCGCGUGUGACCAGAGCUGCGCCGGACGACGACAUAAACGACGCCGGCGAGGAACUACAGACGCGGCGGCGACGAACUCGUGCACGUGCAACCGAGAAGGUAACGCGCGACUUAGCGGUCCAGGACGGACUACGCGACGCAAAGAAACCAUCCGGACAUGAGCAGGAAAGUUAACGAGGUCGGGGUCCUCGCCGGAGACGAGGCCCGACGCGGCGGAGGAGAACCCGAAAGGGGAAAACUCGUUCACGGCGCAACCGGCGAAGCUAUGCGCAUGGGAAGGGUCGCGGACGUACCGCGAACACGUUUACGUGCUCGGUCGGAAAAGUCGUGGUCGGAGACGGUGGCGGCGACGAUCAAACGGCUAUGGCCACCGGAGAGGAAGACGACGACGUAAUCGCGCUGUAGUGGUACAAGGCCUCCGUAGGCGUACGUAGUGGAAGUAGUCGACGACGGGGAUGCAGACGGGCAAGGUCUCACCGGCUGGAUACGCCGGAGAGCACGACGGCGACGAGAGCUCGCUCUCUGUUGCGCUCGGGUUCGAUGAAAUUGGCUGGAUCUGGUGGCGCCCUUACCUGGCGGCGGCGACGAGGGGG